GGCCUCUGGGGUCCGCGCGCGCCGAACCGCGUCAGGCCCGGGAGGGAGCAGCGCUAAGGCGCGGCUCGCCUGCUGCCGGGAAAACGU
RNAcentral lists this non-coding RNA (87 nucleotides) under Nitrososphaerota archaeon. RNAcentral also lists the same sequence under 2 other names. The record is from RNAcentral. Lineage: Archaea; Thermoproteati; Nitrososphaerota.